Molecule: ribosomal RNA, 819 nt
Filed under: uncultured bacterium
Lineage: Bacteria
Description: bacterial SSU rRNA
Rfam family: Bacterial small subunit ribosomal RNA
Source: RNAcentral
AGAGUUUGAUCAUGGCUCAGGACGAACGCUGGCGGCGUGCUUAACACAUGCAAGUCGAACGAAAAGAGGGAAAGAGCUUGCUCUUUCCGGAAUUGAGUGGCAAACGGGUGAGUAACACGUAAACAACCUGCCUUCAGGAUGGGGACAACAGACGGAAACGACUGCUAAUACCGAAUAAGUUCCAAGGGCCGCAUGGCCCAUGGAAGAAAAGGUGGCCUCUACCUGUAAGCUAUCGCCUGAAGAGGGGUUUGCGUCUGAUUAGCUGGUUGGAGGGGUAACGGCCCACCAAGGCGACGAUCAGUAGCCGGUCUGAGAGGAUGAACGGCCACACUGGAACUGAGACACGGUCCAGACUCCUACGGGAGGCAGCAGUGGGGAAUCUUCCGCAAUGGGCGAAAGCCUGACGGAGCAACGCCGCGUGAGUGAUGACGGCCUUCGGGUUGUAAAACUCUGUGAUCCGGGACGAAAAGGCAGAGUGCGAAGAACAAACUGCAUUGACGGUACCGGAAAAGCAAGCCACGGCUAACUACGUGCCAGCAGCCGCGGUAAUACGUAGGUGGCAAGCGUUGUCCGGAAUUACUGGGCGUAAAGCGCGCGCAGGCGGCUUCCCAAGUCCCUCUUAAAAGUGCGGGGCUUAACCCCGUGAUGGGAAGGAAACUGGGAAGCUGGAGUAUCGGAGAGGAAAGUGGAAUUCCUAGUGUAGCGGUGAAAUGCGUAGAGAUUAGGAAGAACACCGGUGGCGAAGGCGACUUUCUGGACGAAAACUGACGCUGAGGCGCGAAAGCGUGGGGAGCAAACAGGAUUAGAUACCCUGGUAGU